This 992-nucleotide long non-coding RNA is filed under the name Homo sapiens (human). Its description in RNAcentral is "HSALNT0137809". The record is from RNAcentral. Lineage: Eukaryota; Metazoa; Chordata; Mammalia; Primates; Hominidae.
GCAGGCAUGAACCCUGGGGCUGGUCUGGGAUCAAUACCAGGAGGAAGGAGAAGACCUGUGAUCUGUUUCUUUCCCUUUAUGAGGAGAUGGUGUACAUGCCCAAGAAGGAGAGAAGAUAGGAGGCCAGGCACAGUAUCCUUGUGAACAUAUCUCUCCCCUGUGAGAAACCAGCCACCAUGUUGUAAGCAGCCCUGUGGCGAGACCCACAUGAGGAAGACCAGGGCUUGCCAACAUCCUCUGAAUGCACGUGGAAACAGAUCUCUGUCCCUCCCCUCAAGGCCCAGCUGUGCAUCCAAAUGAGAUCACAGCCUUUGUUGACAGCUUGACAGUCUCCUCAUGAGCCAGAGAAAUCAGCUAGGUGACUCUCAGAUUUCAGACGCACAGAAACUGUGAGAUAAUAAAUGCUUAUUGCUUUAAAUGCUAAAUUUUUGGGGUUAUUGAUUAUGCAGCAAUAGAUAAGAUAGAUGAAGUGUGCAAUGGGAAUGAUAAAUUCUACAGUGGGCCCUAGGUCACUGUAAACAGGAGCCACAGUGAUAUAAUCCCAAGUCUCCAGUGUGGCAUGAGGCUGAGAGCAUACUAGGGUUUAUCUAACUUCUUGGUUUUGAGUUUCUUUCCAUUUCCCUAGGCUGAGGCUAAAUUGGGAUUUGCUAUGGUGAGAAUGUGUCUUCUAAAUUUCAUGUAUUGGAAACUUUCCCCAAAUUUAUAUAUUAAUGAUAUUUGGAGGUAGGACUUUUGAGAGAUAACUAGGAUUAGAUAAGGUCAUAAAAGUGGGGUCUCCAUGAUGAGACUCAAGGCUUUAUAAAAAGAGGAGGAAGGAACUGAGUUGACGUGCUCUUGCCCUCUCGCCAUGUGGUACCUUCUGCCAUGUUAUGACACAUUAAGAAGGCCUUCAUCAGAUGCGGCUCCUUGAUUUUGGACUUCCUAGCCUCCAGACUGUAAGAAAUAAACUUGUUUUCUUUAUAAAUUACCCAGUCUAUUGUAUUCUGUCAUAG